This 274-nucleotide ribosomal RNA is filed under the name uncultured bacterium. Its description in RNAcentral is "partial 16S ribosomal RNA". It matches the Rfam family "Bacterial small subunit ribosomal RNA", at positions 524 to 796 of the family's 1533-position model. The record is from RNAcentral.
UACGUAGGGUGCGAGCGUUAAUCGGAAUUACUGGGCGUAAAGCGUGCGCAGGCGGUUUUGUAAGACAGAUGUGAAAUCCCCGGGCUUAACCUGGGAACUGCAUUUGUGACUGCAAGGCUAGAGUACGGCAGAGGGGGGUAGAAUUCCACGUGUAGCAGUGAAAUGCGUAGAUAUGUGGAGGAAUACCGAUGGCGAAGGCAGCCCCCUGGGUCGAUACUGACGCUCAUGCACGAAAGCGUGGGGAGCAAACAGGAUUAGAAACCCCCGGUAGUCC